Arvicanthis niloticus (Nile rat) is the source of this 129-nucleotide small nucleolar RNA. RefSeq annotates it as small nucleolar RNA SNORA17. Lineage: Eukaryota; Metazoa; Chordata; Mammalia; Rodentia; Muridae. The record is from RefSeq and is a predicted model, not a curated record.
CUUGUCCCUGGAAGCCUUGCAGGUGUGGCUGCUGUGUCACACGUGCGUCAGUAAGUGACAGGGAGAAGAGAGGCUGUGUCUAUGUUCAGCAUUCUGAUCUAUGAACAUCUGAACCUAACAUCCUGCAAA